CGAUGAUCUCCAGCUUGCUGGGGGGAUUAGUGGCGAACGGGUGAGUAACACGUGAGUAACCUGCCCUUAACUCUGGGAUAAGCCUGGGAAACUGGGUCUAAUACCGGAUAUGACCUUCCAUCGCAUGGUGGGGGGUGGAAAGCUUUUUGUGGUUUUGGAUGGACUCGCGGCCUAUCAGCUUGUUGGUGAGGUAAUGGCUUACCAAGGCGACGACGGGUAGCCGGCCUGAGAGGGUGACCGGCCACACUGGGACUGAGACACGGCCCAGACUCCUACGGGAGGCAGCAGUGGGGAAUAUUGCACAAUGGGCGGAAGCCUGAUGCAGCGACGCCGCGUGAGGGAUGACGGCCUUCGGGUUGUAAACCUCUUUCAGUAGGGAAGAAGCGUAAGUGACGGUACCUGCAGAAGAAGCGCCGGCUAACUACGUGCCAGCAGCCGCGGUAAUACGUAGGGCGCAAGCGUUAUCCGGAAUUAUUGGGCGUAAAGAGCUCGUAGGCGGUUUGUCGCGUCUGCCGUGAAAGUCCGGGGCUCAACUCCGGAUCUGCGGUGGGUACGGGCAGACUAGAGUGAUGUAGGGGAGACUGGAAUUCCUGGUGUAGCGGUGAAAU
Molecule: ribosomal RNA, 608 nt
Filed under: Pseudarthrobacter phenanthrenivorans
Lineage: Bacteria; Bacillati; Actinomycetota; Actinomycetes; Micrococcales; Micrococcaceae
Description: bacterial SSU rRNA
Rfam family: Bacterial small subunit ribosomal RNA
Source: RNAcentral